This 75-nucleotide transfer RNA is filed under the name Armatimonadota bacterium. RNAcentral's name for it is "Armatimonadetes bacterium (groundwater metagenome) tRNA-Ala". It matches the Rfam family "tRNA". From Rfam's summary of the family: Transfer RNA (tRNA) molecules are approximately 80 nucleotides in length. Their secondary structure includes four short double-helical elements and three loops (D, anti-codon, and T loops). Further hydrogen bonds mediate the characteristic L-shaped molecular structure. tRNAs have two regions of fundamental functional importance: the anti-codon, which is responsible for specific mRNA codon recognition, and the 3' end, to which the tRNAs corresponding amino acid is attached (by aminoacyl-tRNA synthetases). tRNAs cope with the degeneracy of the genetic code in two manners: having more than one tRNA (with a specific anti-codon) for a particular amino acid; and 'wobble' base-pairing, i.e. permitting non-standard base-pairing at the 3rd anti-codon position. Lineage: Bacteria; Bacillati; Armatimonadota. The record is from RNAcentral.
GGGGGCGUAGCUCAGUGGGAGAGCACCUGCUUUGCAAGCAGGGGGUCGCCGGUUCGAAUCCGGUCGCCUCCACCA